GUGGCUCAGUGGUAGAGUGCUUGCCUUGCAUGCAUGAGGCCCUGGGUUCGAUUCCAGC
Molecule: transfer RNA, 58 nt
Filed under: Dipodomys ordii (Ord's kangaroo rat)
Lineage: Eukaryota; Metazoa; Chordata; Mammalia; Rodentia; Heteromyidae
Rfam family: tRNA
About the family: Transfer RNA (tRNA) molecules are approximately 80 nucleotides in length.
Source: Rfam by way of RNAcentral